RNAcentral lists this long non-coding RNA (351 nucleotides) under Nicotiana tabacum (common tobacco). RNAcentral's name for it is "long non-coding RNA (NTAB_LNC008766)". Lineage: Eukaryota; Viridiplantae; Streptophyta; Magnoliopsida; Solanales; Solanaceae. The record is from RNAcentral.
AAGAUCUUUGUUGAGUAGCUAGUGGGAUCAACUCUCUUAGUCUCGAGUUUGGCUUUAAAAGUGUCAUAGUUGUCUGAUAAAUUUCGUGGCCGAAUGUUGUCACUUUCAUCAAAGUAAAUAACGGGGACCUUCUCUUUUAGCCUUAGAGGUUUGUCACUUUCAUCAAAGUUAAAAACAGGAACCUUCUCUUUUAGCCUUAGAGGUCUGUCUUUUAUGAAUCUAGGACUGCCAGAUUUUCCAGGUGAUUGCUUUGUUUUUUCCUUUGGGCUGUUUGGGGACUUCACUGGAAGAAAAGCAGAUGAAGGGUUGCGGCAGCGAAGGAGGUAUGGUUGCAAAUGUUGAUGCCUUAAC